CCUACGGGUGGCAGCAGUGGGGAAUAUUGGACAAUGGGGGCAACCCUGAUCCAGCCAUGCCGCGUGUGUGAAGAAGGCCCUCGGGUUGUAAAGCACUUUCAGUGAGGAAGAACGCCUGGUGGUUAAUACCCAUCAGGAAAGACAUCACUCACAGAAGAAGCACCGGCUAACUCCGUGCCAGCAGCCGCGGUAAUACGGAGGGUGCGAGCGUUAAUCGGAAUUACUGGGCGUAAAGCGCGCGUAGGUGGCUUGAUAAGCCGGUUGUGAAAGCCCCGGGCUCAACCUGGGAACGGCAUCCGGAACUGUCAAGCUAGAGUGCAGGAGAGGAAGGUAGAAUUCCCGGUGUAGCGGUGAAAUGCGUAGAGAUCGGGAGGAAUACCAGUGGCGAAGGCGGCCUUCUGGACUGACACUGCCACUGAGGUGCGAAAGCGUGGGUAGCAAACAGGAUUAGAUACCCUAGUAGUC
This 465-nucleotide ribosomal RNA is filed under the name Vreelandella stevensii. Its description in RNAcentral is "partial 16S ribosomal RNA". It matches the Rfam family "Bacterial small subunit ribosomal RNA", at positions 338 to 795 of the family's 1533-position model. Lineage: Bacteria; Pseudomonadati; Pseudomonadota; Gammaproteobacteria; Oceanospirillales; Halomonadaceae. The record is from RNAcentral.